GACAGAGGAGCCAAGCGUUGUCCGGAUUGACUGGGCGUAAAGCGCACGCAGGCGGUCGCGCGCGUGGGGGGUGAAAACUGGCGGCUUAACUGCCAGAGGCCAUCCCAUACGGCGCGACUCGAGCCAUGCAGAGGUCCACGGAAUUGCCGGUGUAGUGGUGAAAUGCGUAGAGAUCGGCAGGAACACCCAGGGGGAAACCAGUGGACUGGGCAUGAGCUGACGCUCAGGUGCGAAAGCGUGGGGAGCGAACAGG
RNAcentral lists this ribosomal RNA (253 nucleotides) under uncultured bacterium. RNAcentral describes it as "partial 16S ribosomal RNA". It matches the Rfam family "Bacterial small subunit ribosomal RNA", at positions 524 to 776 of the family's 1533-position model. The record is from RNAcentral.